This 1731-nucleotide ribosomal RNA is filed under the name Laodelphax striatellus (small brown planthopper). RNAcentral describes it as "partial 18S ribosomal RNA". It matches the Rfam family "Eukaryotic small subunit ribosomal RNA". Lineage: Eukaryota; Metazoa; Arthropoda; Insecta; Hemiptera; Delphacidae. The record is from RNAcentral.
AAAGAUUAAGCCAUGCAUGUCUAAGUAUAAGCGAUUAUACGGCGAAACUGCGAAUGGCUCAUUACACAAGUUAUCGUUUAUUUGAUAGCACCUUACUACUUGGAUAACCGUGGUAAUUCUAGAGCUAAUACAUGCUGAAAAUCCCAACUCCGGAAGGGAUGUAUUUAUUAGAUUCAAAACCAAUGCCCUCCGGGCUCACUGGUGAUUCAUGAUAACUUCGCGGAUCGCACGGCCUUGUGCCGGCGAUGGUUCAUUCAAAUUUCUUCCCUAUCAACUUUCGAUGUUUGGGUAGUGGCCAAACAUGGUUGCAACGGGUAACGGAGGGUUAGGGCUCGACCCCGGAGAAGGAGCCUGAGAAACGGCUACUACAUCCAAGGAAGGCAGCAGGCGCGCAAAUUACCCAAUCCCGACUCGGGGAGGUAGUGACAAUAAAUACUGAUACAGGGCCCUUUCGGGUCUUGUAAUUGGAAUGAGUACAACUUAAAUCCCUUAACGAGGAACAAUUGGAGGGCAAGUCUGGUGCCAGCAGCCGCGGUAAUUCCAGCUCCAAUAGCGUAUAUUAAAGUUGUUGUGGUUAAAAAGCUCGUAGUUGAACCUCGGGCCUGGCUGGCCGGUCCGCCUCAUCGCGUGUACUGGCCCGGCCCGGGCCCCUCCCUCUGUGGAACCCCAUGCCCUUCACUGGGCGUGGCGGGGAAGCAGGACUUUUUACUUUGAAAAAAUUAGAGUGCUCCAGGCAGGCCUAUGCUCGAAUACAUUAGCAUGGAAUAAUGAAAUAGGACGCGCGGUUCUAUUUUGUUGGUUUCUAGGACCGCCGUAAUGAUUAAUAGGGACAGUCGGGGGCAUCAGUAUUCGAUCGUCAGAGGUGAAAUUCUUGGAUCGAUUGAAGACUCACUACUGCGAAAGCAUUUGCCAAGGAUGUUUUCAUUAAUCAGGAACGAAAGUUAGGGGAUCGAAGACGAUCAGAUACCGUCGUAGUCUUAACCAUAAACUAUGCCGACUAGGGAUCGGACGAUGUUGUUUUUUUGACUCGUUCGGCACCUUACGAGAAAUCAAAGUGCUUGGGCUCCAGGGGGAGUAUGGUCGCAAGGCUGAAACUUAAAGAAAUUGACGGAAGGGCACCACCAGGGGUGGAGCCUGCGGCUUAAUUUGACUCAACACGGGGAAACUCACCAGGUCCAGACACAAUGAGGAUUGACAGAUUGAGAGCUCUUUCUUGAUUUUGUGGGUGGUGGUGCAUGGCCGUUCUUAGUUGGUGGAGUGAUUUGUCUGCUUAAUUGCGAUAACGAACGAGACCUUAACCUGCUAAAUAGCCCGCGUCGCUGCGGCGGCGCGCCGGCUUCUUAGAGGGACUAUCGGCUCAAGCCGAUGGAAGUUUGAGGCAAUAACAGGUCUGUGAUGCCCUUAGAUGUCCUGGGCCGCACGCGCGCUACACUGAAGGAAUCAGCGUGUCUUCCCUGUCCGAAAGGACCGGGUAACCCGCUGAACCUCCUUCGUGCUUGGGAUUGGGGCUUGCAAUUGUUCCCCAUGAACGAGGAAUUCCCAGUAAGCGCGAGUCAUAAGCUCGCGUUGAUUACGUCCCUGCCCUUUGUACACACCGCCCGUCGCUACUACCGAUUGAAUGAUUUAGUGAGGUCUUCGGACCGGUGCGCGGAGGCGGUUUUCCGCUCCCGAUGUUGUCGGAAAGAUGACCAAACUUGAUCAUUUAGAGGAAGUAAAAGUCGUAACAAGGUU